This 87-nucleotide transfer RNA is filed under the name Cordyceps fumosorosea ARSEF 2679. Its description in RNAcentral is "Isaria fumosorosea ARSEF 2679 tRNA". It matches the Rfam family "tRNA". Rfam says of the family: Transfer RNA (tRNA) molecules are approximately 80 nucleotides in length. Their secondary structure includes four short double-helical elements and three loops (D, anti-codon, and T loops). Further hydrogen bonds mediate the characteristic L-shaped molecular structure. tRNAs have two regions of fundamental functional importance: the anti-codon, which is responsible for specific mRNA codon recognition, and the 3' end, to which the tRNAs corresponding amino acid is attached (by aminoacyl-tRNA synthetases). tRNAs cope with the degeneracy of the genetic code in two manners: having more than one tRNA (with a specific anti-codon) for a particular amino acid; and 'wobble' base-pairing, i.e. permitting non-standard base-pairing at the 3rd anti-codon position. The record is from Rfam by way of RNAcentral. Lineage: Eukaryota; Fungi; Ascomycota; Sordariomycetes; Hypocreales; Cordycipitaceae.
GCCCGGUUAGCUCAAUCGGUAGAGCGUGAGACUCUUAAUAAGAGUUCACCCAUCUCAAGGUUGCGGGUUCGACCCCCGCAUCGGGCU